This 869-nucleotide ribosomal RNA is filed under the name uncultured archaeon. RNAcentral describes it as "bacterial SSU rRNA". It matches the Rfam family "Archaeal small subunit ribosomal RNA", at positions 1 to 878 of the family's 1478-position model. The record is from RNAcentral.
CUCCGGUUGAUCCUGCCGGACCCGACUGCUAUCAGAGUGAGAUUAAGCCAUGCGAGUUAACGUAGCAAUACGUGGCGCACGGCUCAGUAACACGUAGUCAACAUGCCCAGAGGACGUGGAUAACCUCGGGAAACUGAGUCUAAACCGCGAUAAGUGAGGAUUUCUGGAAUGGUUCCUGACUAAAAUCUAUAUGGCCUCUGGAUUGGACUGCGGCCGAUCAGGCUGUUGGUGAGGUAAUGGCCCACCAAACCUGUAACCGGUACGGGCUCUGAGAGGAGGAGCCCGGAGAUGGGCACUGAGACAAGGGCCCAGGCCCUAUGGGGCGCAGCAGGCGCGAAACCUCUGCAAUAGGCGAAAGCCUGACAGGGUUACUCUGAGUGACUUUCGCUAAGAAAGUCUUUUGGCACCUCUAAAAAGGGUGCAGAAUAAGGGGUGGGCAAGUCUGGUGUCAGCCGCCGCGGUAAUACCAGCACCCCGAGUGGUCGGGACGAUUAUUGGGCCUAAAGCAUCCGUAGCCGGUUCUGCAAGUCCCCCGUUAAAUCCAGCUGCUCAACAGAUGGGCCGCGGAGGAUACUACAGAGCUAGGAGGCAGGAGAGGCAAGCGGUACUCAGUGGGUAGGGGUAAAAUCCGUUGAUCCAUUGAAGACCACCAGUGGCGAAGGCGGUCCGCCAGAACGCGCUCGACGGUGAGGGAUGAAAGCUGGGGGAGCAAACCGGAUUAGAUACCCGGGUAGUCCCAGCUGUAAACGAUGCAGACUCGGUGAUGGGUUGGCCUCGCGCCUGCCCAGUGCCGCAGGGAAGCCGUUAAGUCUGCCGCCUGGGGAGUACGGUCGCAAGACUGAAACUUAAAGGAAUUUGGCGGGGGAGCA